GGCAGCAUGGAUGUCCUUUCGGGGACAUCUGAUGGCGACCGGCGCUCGGGUGAGUAACACGUAUGCAACCUGCCCCUGUCAGGGGGACAACCCGCCGAAAGGCGGGCUAAACCCGCGUACAUGCCACCGGGGCAUCCCGGAGGCAGGAAAGGCUUCGGCCGGACAGGGAUGGGCAUGCGGCGCAUUAGGCAGUAGGCGGGGUAACGGCCCACCUAACCGACGAUGCGUAGGGGUUCUGAGAGGAAGGUCCCCCACACUGGUACUGAGACACGGACCAGACUCCUACGGGAGGCAGCAGUGAGGAAUAUUGGUCAAUGGUCGGGAGACUGAACCAGCCAAGCCGCGUGAGGGAGGAAGGUACAGAGUAUCGUAAACCUCUUUUGUCAGGGAACAAAGGCGGGGACGUGUCCCCGGAUGAGUGUACCUGAAGAAAAAGCAUCGGCUAACUCCGUGCCAGCAGCCGCGGUAAUACGGAGGAUGCGGGCGUUAUCCGGAUUUAUUGGGUUUAAAGGGUGCGCAGGCGGUCUGUUAAGUCAGCGGUCAAAGCCCGGGGCUCAACCCCGGCCCGCCGUUGAAACUGGCAGUCUCGAGUUGGAGAGAAGUAUGCGGAAUGCGCGGUGUAGCGGUGAAAUGCAUAGAUAUCGCGCAGAACUCCGAUUGCGAAGGCAGCAUGCCGGCUCCACACUGACGCUGAGGCACGAAAGCGUGNGUAUCGAACAGGAUUAGAUACCCUGGUAGUCCANGCAGUAAACGAUGAAUGCUGGCUGUCCGGGGGGAUUGACCCCUGGGU
Molecule: ribosomal RNA, 790 nt
Filed under: uncultured bacterium
Lineage: Bacteria
Description: bacterial SSU rRNA
Rfam family: Bacterial small subunit ribosomal RNA
Source: RNAcentral